This 216-nucleotide ribosomal RNA is filed under the name Staphylococcus aureus. RNAcentral describes it as "partial 16S ribosomal RNA". It matches the Rfam family "Bacterial small subunit ribosomal RNA", at positions 1033 to 1250 of the family's 1533-position model. RNAcentral also lists the same sequence under 1 other name. The record is from RNAcentral. Lineage: Bacteria; Bacillati; Bacillota; Bacilli; Caryophanales; Staphylococcaceae.
GACAGGUGGUGCAUGGUUGUCGUCAGCUCGUGUCGUGAGAUGUUGGGUUAAGUCCCGCAACGAGCGCAACCCUUAAGCUUAGUUGCCAUCAUUAAGUUGGGCACUCUAAGUUGACUGCCGGUGACAAACCGGAGGAAGGUGGGGAUGACGUCAAAUCAUCAUGCCCCUUAUGAUUUGGGCUACACACGUGCUACAAUGGACAAUACAAAGGGCAGC